UUAAAAAAAGAUAAUAAAAUAAAAUAUUUGCUUCGUUAUUUAUUGCAACUCAGUUUCAAACCCAAAACAGACGCUAUCCCUUUAAAAAAUUUGAAUUUUAAAAAUAUCAAAUUUGCUUCUUAUUUCCUCAAAUAUCAAUUCUCAAAAAAAAAAAAAAAAAAAAGAAAAGAGAGAGAAAUGUAUACCAGAGGUGAUUUGGUCGAAGUUUGCAGUAAAGAAAGUUGGUUUGGCGGAUCGCUUCAAUCGUAUCUCAAUUGAGGAAAGAUCGAAUCUUGUCGAUGGUGCAGACUGGGUUUCGACUCCCCAAACCCUCCUUCUUCCCAAAAGAUCACGACAACGGUGGCGAGGAAUGGGUUUGUCGGAUCAUACUAUGAAGCUUCAAUCGUAUCUCAACCACUAACAGGUUUGUCUUUCUACAAAAUUUUAAAAUUGAAGGAUUUAAUUUGGAGAACGAAGAAGGACUUCAAUAGCAAUAUUCGUUCUUAUGAAGAAGAAAGCUAAACAAGGUGCCUUUUUACCCCUCUAUUCAACUUCAUUCUUAACCAUUAUUAUUUUUCUGUUCUUGUCAAUUCCAUUUUGAGUUGGAGAUUUUAUUGUUUUUCAUUGUUUGUUAAUGUAAUUUUGAAGAAUCUCUUCACUUUAUGGUCAAGUAAGUAUCCACGAUUCUAUCUUCUUCUUCUUCUUUUCUUGCUUUAUUCGUUUGGUUAGAAAUGAUUUUGAUUAAUGUUUAGAUCAAACUUAUAAAGUUCAAAUUUUGCUAACACCCAUAAUAAAUAUUUCAUACCUAUUAAAUUCUUAUUAAUUUUCUUGAUUGUAUUUUUCUUUAUGUCUUCUUUAAUUAUUAAUUGUACAAUUUCUUUAUUUCAUUAAUUUGGUUUCCUGCAAUGAUUCUUCUUCUUCUUUUUUCUUCUUUUAAGAAAUUAAGAUUCAACUAUUACUACUUAGAAUAAUUUCACAAGAAUUGUGUACAUUCUUUCCUUUCUCUCUUCAUUGCAUAUUUUAUGUGUAAUUCUUUCUGGUUGUUCUUCAUUCCAAGAAUCGAUUUAUUUUGUUUUCUAAGAAAGUUAACUCACGAUUCCUCUGUUUUUUGCUGUCAUAUGUUACCUAUGGCUGAAAAAAGAGCUAAGACGACAUUGAUGAUGAUGGGUGAGGAGGAAGACAGAAUUUCGAAACUACCUGAUUCACUCAUUCUACAUAUUCUGUCCUUUCUUUCCACUAAGGAUGUCGUUUCAACAUGCCUCGUUUCCAAAUGCUGGAAACUCAUGUGGUAUUGUGUCCCCAAACUCUCUUUCUCCGAUUCUAAUUUGAAAAAUGACCCAAAAAAGUUUUACAAUUAUGUUGAUAAUUAUUUGGAAUACCACAAGAGAGGCAUGUAUUUUGUCCCGAAUUCAGCCAUAACUAGUUUUAAGCUUCGUAUAGCUUAUUCUUAUAGAUUAAGUGAGGUUUGUCACCUAGAUAAAUGGUUAAGUUUUGUAGCUGAGAAUAAAGUCAAGGAAAUAGAUAUUUUCGUGAAGAGCUUGAGGAAUAACAAUGGUGAUAUUUACUACUACACCAUACUUAAAACACUCAUAGUCAACUCAUGAUAUUUGACUAUAUUGAAUUUGAUUUGGUGGAGUUGGAUUCUCGUUACUCGUUUAGCUUUCCAUCUUUGAAAACAUUGUCAUUAUCUUAUGUUGGGCUUGUAGAUAAUGAUGUAAUAGAUAAGCUAUUGUUGGGUUUCCCUUCCCUUGAGAAAUUGCAAUUGUAUAAGUGUUGUUUAUCUAGUCAUCUUCGUGAUGAGCUCCACAUUUACAUACAACAUAGUUUAAGCCUCAAGGUUUCGGACAUCAUACUCACUAAUGAUUUGGUGGAAAAAAUUGGUGUCAUAAAUCUUGUUUCUUUAAUGCUAAUAGGUGUUUCCUUUGACAAAAUAAAACACUCUGCAUGCAAGGCAAUUAGAAUUCUCACAUUAAAUUGUUGUUGGGGUAUGGAAAGGUUGUCAUCAUUCGAAUAUUUCAUUUCUAACCUUCCUCUUCUUGAGAAAUUGACUUUGUGCAGCUUGCUUAAGUGGAAGUUAUAGCAUGUUGAAAUCUCGAAUCAACACUUGGAAGAACUCAUUGUUACUAACAGUUUCUGUGAUGAAAUGCCCUUUAUAAUUAAAUCAACUCCAAAAUUAAGGGUAUUUUCUUAUAGGAGUAAUAUCAAAUUGAAUGUAUCAAUGGAGUCGUCUAAAUUGUUGUCUUGAGAAUUUGUAAUGUUAAGGAGCUAGAGAACUAUGAUGCCGGUUGGUUUAUCAAUUUGAUGAUUUUUCUUUUGAAUCUCAAAGUGUUCUUGGAGAAGCAUAGAGAUUCAUGUUGAAGCAGAUGAGGCUCUUAUCUUUCCAGAGAACUUGAAGCGGGUAUGUCGUUCACCUUUGCUCGAUUGGAAAAAUCUUACAUGUUUUACUGAACGUAAAUUGAAGAAUGAAUCAAUAUUGAAAGAUGCUCUGCAAUGAAUUUCUCCUACAUUAUCCAUAAAGAAAGAGCAUCCUUAUUAUGAAAAGCAUGAAGAUUUGUUCUUGUGAUUAUUAUGUUAUCAAUGCCUUGUUACUUAAGUUAACUGAAAAUUCAAUAUUAUAUUCAUUAGCUUUCAUCAGGAAAGUUGAUGAAAAAUUGGUUUGUCAAAUGUUGGGGCAUUUCUUAGCUGUAUAAUGACUAUGAAUUCUUUUUUGUUGAUUAUAUUGUUAACGUAUAUUUGGUCC
This is a long non-coding RNA of Cannabis sativa, 2719 nucleotides long. RefSeq lists it as uncharacterized. The transcript is spliced from 2 exons. The record is from RefSeq and is a predicted model, not a curated record. Lineage: Eukaryota; Viridiplantae; Streptophyta; Magnoliopsida; Rosales; Cannabaceae.